RNAcentral lists this unclassified non-coding RNA (1115 nucleotides) under Hevea brasiliensis (rubber tree). Lineage: Eukaryota; Viridiplantae; Streptophyta; Magnoliopsida; Malpighiales; Euphorbiaceae. The record is from RNAcentral.
GUGAAAAAACGCCCUGUUAAUUUCAUUUUUUGAAAAAUUGGUAGCUUAAAGUUUCAGAGGAAAGCGAUCUCUCCACCGUCGACGAGAGAGAAUUUAUCAGAGGCUGAGAGGGAUGACAGCAAUCUCAAGAACCAGAUCGUUGCGUUCGCCUUUCUUAUUAUUGUUAUUUUUCUCUUCAAUUUCUCUGCAAUUCAUUUCAGGAAUUUCUGGUGACCCAUCUAGUUCCAAAAAUGGCACAAAGGCCGGUGCCCAUGCUUCUACUGGUAGCAACACCAGGAGCAAGAUUCUCAUCAUACUUCUUGUGGUUGUGGCAUUAGGGUUGUUUUCAUUUUUCCUUUUCAAAUUUUGGCAAAAGAAGAAAAGAGAAGAGCAGUACGCUCGUCUUUUGAAGUUGUUUGAAGAGGAUGAUGAGCUUGAGGUUGAACUUGGGCUGCGGGAUUGAUGCUUUAAUUGUUGAAAAUUACAUUCAUUGUAGUUGAGGCUAAAAUGGAAUUAUUAUAAGGAAAACUUCUUCCUCUGAGGGCCACGAUUGGGAUGUGGGGAUGCCCUGCGUUGAGGUUAGAUUUUUUCAAUUAUAUAUUGUAAUAUCUGUAAUCACUUGUCCAAAUUAGAACUUGUAAUGAAUAUGAAUUCUUUUGAGUAUUUAGAGAAGGGAAGGAUACUAUUUUGUAAAAGAUGUAAGGAGGGUCUCAUUUUCAGGUUGUAAAAAUGAAUUCUUCGUUCUGAUAGACACUGAAGUUGUGUAAGAAUCAAGAGUUCUGACCGAGGAUUCUUGAAUAGCAAUAUGCUUCUUAUUAUUGGGAAGAACAAGAUAAAUGCAAUUCUCAUUCUCUUGAGUUUUGGAGGUCAAGUUCAUGAUUUUGGCAUCUGCUGUAUUUGAAGCAAUAUUUUCUACUGCAAAGUGUGUUUGUGGGCACACUCUUCAUCUUUUCCUUGUUUUUACAUUGUUCUCUCAAUUUCUUUUUAGCUUUUUUUUUCAUGGUAGAAAAACCCAUGAAUUGUUGUUAGAAUAUGCGUGGCUGAGAAUUGGAUCCCAGUUAUUAUGUAGAAUUUACUGUGGAUUUGUUUGUUUUGUUACUGAAGUUGCUUGGAUGUGCUCAAGAAUUGAAUAGCCG